UACGGGGGGGGCAAGCGUUGUUCGGAAUUACUGGGCGUAAAGGGCUCGUAGGCGGCCAACUAAGUCAGACGUGAAAUCCCUCGGCUUAACCGGGGAACUGCAUCUGAUACUGGAUGGCUUGAGUUCGGGAGAGGGAUGCGGAAUUCCAGGCGUAGCGGUGAAAUGCGUAGAUAUCUGGAGGAACACCGGUGGCGAAGGCGGCAUCCUGGACCGACACUGACGCUGAGGAGCGAAAGCCAGGGGAGCAAACGGG
RNAcentral lists this ribosomal RNA (253 nucleotides) under uncultured bacterium. Its description in RNAcentral is "partial 16S ribosomal RNA". It matches the Rfam family "Bacterial small subunit ribosomal RNA", at positions 524 to 776 of the family's 1533-position model. The record is from RNAcentral.